Molecule: ribosomal RNA, 441 nt
Filed under: uncultured bacterium
Lineage: Bacteria
Description: bacterial SSU rRNA
Rfam family: Bacterial small subunit ribosomal RNA
Source: RNAcentral
GCACAAUGGGCGCAAGCCUGAUGCAGCCAUUGCCGCGGUGUAUGAAGAAGGCCUUCGGGUUGUAAAGUACUUUCAGCAGUGAGGAAGGCGGAGUCGUUUAAUAGCGGCCUUCGUUUCGACGUUUAGCUGCAGAAGAAGCACCGGCUAACUCCGUGCCAGCAGCCGCGGUAAUACGGAGGGUGCGAGUCGUUAAUCGGAAUUACUGGGCGUAAAGCGCAUGCAGGUGGUUUGUUAAGUCAGAUGUGAAAGCCCGGGGCUCAACCUCGGAAUUGCAUUUGAAACUGGCAGACUAGAGUACUGUAGAGGGGGUAGAAUUUCAGGUGUAGCGGUGAAAUGCGUAGAGAUCUGAAGGAAUACCGGUGGCGAAGGCGGCCCCCUGGACAGAUACUGACACUCAGAUGCGAAAGCGUGGGGAGCAAACAGGAUUAGAUACCCUGGUAG